RNAcentral lists this long non-coding RNA (309 nucleotides) under Androctonus crassicauda. Lineage: Eukaryota; Metazoa; Arthropoda; Arachnida; Scorpiones; Buthidae. The record is from RNAcentral.
UCAUGAAAUGAGUGUUUCUUUUGAAAAUUUAAGAUUGAUGCUUUUUGAGGAUGGUUAUAGCAAAGGAUAUAGGACUUUCAUUUAACCAUUGGCGGUUUUAUAGCCUCCUUGAUACGCUCUACUCAGAGAACAAAGAGUGUACUUGUGAAUAUGUGAUGCUGUAUUCACAAUUGCAAAAAGAAAAAAGGAAAGGAAAGGAAAGGAAACAAAUUGAGUUUUCUCAAUGGGACAGAGCGAUGUAUUUUUGGCGAGAAUUGUUUUAUAAGUUAUUUAAUGAUCUUAUUCUCUAUCUUUUCCUGUAGUUUUUUA